CCUACGGGCGGCAGCAGUGAGGAAUAUUGGUCAAUGGGCGAAAGCCUGAACCAGCCAAGUAGCGUGAAGGAUGACGGUUCUAUGGAUUGUAAACCUCUUUUAUAAGGGAAUAAAGUGUUGGACGUGUCUGAUUUUGUAUGUACUAUAUGAAUAAGGAUCGGCUAACUCCGUGCCAGCAGCCGCGGUAAUACGGAGGAUCCGAGCGUUAUCCGGAUUUAUUGGGUUUAAAGGGUGCGUAGGGGGCUUUUUAAGUCAGCUGUGAAAGUCUGUGGCUCCACCCGAGAAUUGCCGUUGAAACUGGGAGUCUUGAGUAUGUUAGAGGCAGGCGGAAUGCGUGGUGUAGCGGUGAAAUGCGUAGAUAUCACGCAGAACCCCGAUUGCGAAGGCAGCUUGC
This 394-nucleotide ribosomal RNA is filed under the name uncultured bacterium. RNAcentral describes it as "partial 16S ribosomal RNA". It matches the Rfam family "Bacterial small subunit ribosomal RNA", at positions 338 to 729 of the family's 1533-position model. The record is from RNAcentral.